GUUUAUAUAGUUUAAUAAAAACAUUACAUUUUCAUUGUAAAAAUAAAAUAACUUUUUUUAUAAAUU
Molecule: transfer RNA, 66 nt
Filed under: Tomoplagia incompleta
Lineage: Eukaryota; Metazoa; Arthropoda; Insecta; Diptera; Tephritidae
Description: tRNA-Glu
Source: RNAcentral